AAUGAAUGUUGGCGGCGUGGAUUAGGCAUGCAAGUCGAGCGAACAGAGGGGGCUUGCCCCCGAAGUGAGCGGCGAAAGGGAGAGCAAUAUAUGGAUUAUCUGCCCUCAGGAUCGGGAUAGCUACGGGAAACUGUAGGUAAUACCGAAUAAUAUCUCCGGAUCAAAGGUGAGAUUCCGCCUGAGGAUGAGUUCAUAUCCUAUUAGCUUGUUGGUGGGGUAAUGGCCUACCAAGGCUAAGAUGGGUACCGGGCGUGAGAGCGUGACCCGGCUCACUGGGACUGAGACACUGCCCAGACACCUACGGGUGGCUGCAGUCGAGAAUCUUCGGCAAUGGACGAAAGUCUGACCGAGCGACGCCGCGUGCGGGACGAAGGCCUUCGGGUUGUAAACCGCUGUCAAGUUGGAGGAAAUGCGUGGGGGUCAUCCCCUGCGUUUGACCGAUAGCAAAAGGAAGGACGGGCUAAGUUCGUGCCAGCAGCCGCAGUAAAAC
RNAcentral lists this ribosomal RNA (490 nucleotides) under uncultured bacterium. RNAcentral's name for it is "bacterial SSU rRNA". It matches the Rfam family "Bacterial small subunit ribosomal RNA", at positions 29 to 526 of the family's 1533-position model. The record is from RNAcentral.